This 495-nucleotide ribosomal RNA is filed under the name uncultured bacterium. RNAcentral describes it as "partial 16S ribosomal RNA". It matches the Rfam family "Bacterial small subunit ribosomal RNA", at positions 28 to 505 of the family's 1533-position model. The record is from RNAcentral.
GAUGAACGCUGGCGGCGUGCCUAAUACAUGCAAGUCGAGCGAACAGACGAGGAGCUUGCUCCUCUGACGUUAGCGGCGGACGGGUGAGUAACACGUGGAUAACCUACCUAUAAGACUGGGAUAACUUCGGGAAACCGGAGCUAAUACCGGAUAAUAUAUUGAACCGCAUGGUUCAAUAGUGAAAGACGGUUUUGCUGUCACUUAUAGAUGGAUCCGCGCCGCAUUAGCUAGUUGGUAAGGUAACGGCUUACCAAGGCAACGAUGCGUAGCCGACCUGAGAGGGUGUACGGCCACACGGAAAAGGGAACGCGCUCCAGACCCCAAGGGGGGGGAGAAGGAGGGAAUUUUCCGAAAGGGGCAAAAGCCUGACGGAGCAACGCCGGGGGAGUGAAGAAGGUUUGCGGUUUGUAAAACUCUGUUAUUAGGGAAAAAAAAAUGUGUAAGUAACUAUGCACGUUUUGACGGUACCUAAUCAGAAACCCCGGGCAAACUACG